Molecule: ribosomal RNA, 876 nt
Filed under: Hypoxylon sp.
Lineage: Eukaryota; Fungi; Ascomycota; Sordariomycetes; Xylariales; Hypoxylaceae
Description: partial large subunit ribosomal RNA
Rfam family: Eukaryotic large subunit ribosomal RNA
Source: RNAcentral
GGGAUUGCCCUAGUAACGGCGAGUGAAGCGGCAACAGCUCAAAUUUGAAAUCUGGCCCUAGCGGUCCGAGUUGUAAUUUGUAGAGGAUGCUUUUGGCGCGGUGCCUUCUGAGUUCCCUGGAACGGGACGCCAGAGAGGGUGAGAGCCCCGUACGGUUGGCCGCCUAGCCUUUAUACAGCUCCUUCGACGAGUCGAGUAGUUUGGGAAUGCUGCUCUAAAUGGGAGGUAAAUUUCUUCUAAAGCUAAAUACCGGCCAGAGACCGAUAGCGCACAAGUAGAGUGAUCGAAAGAUGAAAAGUACUUUGAAAAGAGGGUUAAAUAGCACGUGAAAUUGUUGAAAGGGAAGCGUUUGCGACCAGACCUUUUCCUGGCGGAUCAUCCGGUGUUCUCACCGGUGCACUUCGCCUGGUUUAGGCCAGCAUCGGUUCUCUUAGGGGGAUAAAGGCCUUGGGCACGUAGCUCUUUCGGGAGUGUUAUAGCCCCUGGCGUAAUACCCUUCGGGGGACCGAGGACCGCGCUCUGCAAGGAUGCUGGCGUAAUGGUCGUCAACGACCCGUCUUGAAACACGGACCAAGGAGUCGAACAUUUGUGCGAGUGUUUGGGUGUUAAACCCUCACGCGUAAUGAAAGUGAACGGAGGUGAGAGCCCCUAGGGGUGCAUCAUCGACCGAUCCUGAUGUCUUCGGAUGGAUUUGAGUAAGAGCAUAACUGUUCGGACCCGAAAGAUGGUGAACUAUGCGUGGAUAGGGUGAAGCCAGAGGAAACUCUGGUGGAGGCUCGCAGCGGUUCUGACGUGCAAAUCGAUCGUCAAAUCUGCGCAUGGGGGCGAAAGUACGUAUAUAAUAUAACCUAAACCUACCCUGUAACACUUAUGCUA